Molecule: ribosomal RNA, 34 nt
Filed under: Oreaster reticulatus
Lineage: Eukaryota; Metazoa; Echinodermata; Asteroidea; Valvatida; Oreasteridae
Description: partial 12S ribosomal RNA
Source: RNAcentral
AGUAGGCGUAUUGGGAAAUGCGCCUGGACCUAAA